UACGGGGGGGGCAAGCGUUGUUCGGAAUCACUGGGCGUAAAGGGCGCGUAGGCGGGAUGGCAAGUCGGUCGUGAAAUCCCUGGGCUCAACUCAGGGGGGUCGGCCGAUACUGCCGUUCUUGAGGGAUGCAGAGGAGACUGGAAUUCCCGGUGUAGCGGUGAAAUGUGUAGAGAUCGGGAGGAACACCGGUGGCGAAGGCGGGUCUCUGGGCAUUCCCUGACGCUGAGGCGCGAAAGCGUGGGGAGCAAACGGG
RNAcentral lists this ribosomal RNA (253 nucleotides) under uncultured bacterium. RNAcentral describes it as "partial 16S ribosomal RNA". It matches the Rfam family "Bacterial small subunit ribosomal RNA", at positions 524 to 776 of the family's 1533-position model. The record is from RNAcentral.